This 71-nucleotide transfer RNA is filed under the name Marmota marmota marmota (Alpine marmot). It matches the Rfam family "tRNA". Rfam says of the family: Transfer RNA (tRNA) molecules are approximately 80 nucleotides in length. Their secondary structure includes four short double-helical elements and three loops (D, anti-codon, and T loops). Lineage: Eukaryota; Metazoa; Chordata; Mammalia; Rodentia; Sciuridae. RNAcentral also lists the same sequence under 1 other name. The record is from Rfam by way of RNAcentral.
GGGGUUGUAGUUUAGCGGUAGAGUGCUCAUCUAGCAUGUGGGAGGCCCUGGGUUUGAUCCUUAGCACCCCA